Molecule: RNA transcript, 3430 nt
Organism: Erigeron canadensis
Lineage: Eukaryota; Viridiplantae; Streptophyta; Magnoliopsida; Asterales; Asteraceae
Gene name: pentatricopeptide repeat-containing protein At2g26790, mitochondrial
Exons: 4
Source: RefSeq, a predicted model, not a curated record
ACCUAUAUAUAAGAACAAACCACAAUUACAGGUUUACUACCUUCUUUCUCCGGCACCAACACAGUCACCGCCGCCGCCGUCCCCACUUUCAUUUCUCCGGCCGCCACUACCAUGUUCAUCUCAAAGACUUAACAUUUAAACCCCUAUGUGGCAUCCAAUAUUCAGGUUAUCAUCCUCUUUCUCUACUGAUUCUGUAAAACAUAUAUCUAAAUUCCAUUAUAUAUCUAUUUCAUCACUUGCCCAUUUAACUUACAGUUCAGAUUUAUCAUCUUCAGAUGAAAAUAAUAAUGCCCAGUUAGUUUGCAGCCCAUUUGAAGAAAAACACCCCAACAAGUUUUCAGUCCUUGAAACUUUACAUAAGUUAAAUAAACAGCCCAAUCUUGCAUUAUCUUUCAUUACCCAGUUAAAAGCUUCAAACUUUAAGCAUGAUGUUGUUACUUAUAUGGCUAUAGUUAGGUUCUUAUGUAAUUGGGGUAUGGAUAUAAGGUUAUAUAAUGUUUUCUUGGAUGUUGUAAAGAACCCAGAUGGGGUUGGUUUUGAAUUCGAUGUUUCGGAUUUGUUUGAAGUGUUGAUGGAUGAGAUUAAGGCCACGAGGUCGAGAAGUUUGAUGAAAGGUGUUGAUGUUUUGGUUAAGGUUUAUGCGAGUGUUGGGAUGUUUGAUGAGGCGGUUGACACGUUGUUUAAGGUGAAAAGGGGUGGGAUUUUAUUGUCGACAAAUACGUGUAAUUAUUUGAUGAAUCAGUUGAUUUCGUGGGAGAAGUUGGAUAUGUUGGAGUCGGUUUUUAGGCAGUUGAAGAGGAAAGGAUUGGUUCCGAAUGUGUAUACGUAUGGGAUUUUGGUUAAAGGAUUUUGUAGGAAGGGGUGUUUGGAGGAAGCUUUGGAUGUUUUUAGGAAAAUGAAGGAGGAUGGUGUUGAGCCUAAUGAGUUUACUUAUGGUACUUAUAUAGAUGGGCUUUGUUCGAAUGGAAGAGUUGAUUCUGGUUUUGAGUUCCUGAAAAGUUUACGGGUCGCAAAUGUGCAAAUGAAUGUUUAUGCUUAUACUUCUAUCAUUAGACGUUAUGUGAAAGAGUUGAAGCUACAGGAUGCAGAAAGCGUCUUGCUUGACAUGAAGAAUGCUGGAGUUGUGCCUGAUGUGACUUGUUAUGGAGCAUUGAUUCAAGGAUAUUGUAAAACAGGGAAUAUUCUUAAGGCGUUAGCCCUACAUGAUGAGAUGGAAUCAACAGGUACUAAAACUGAUUGUAAGAUUGUAAGUGCGAUAAUGCAAUGCUUGUGUAAGCUGGGUUUGCUGGCUGAAGCUGCAUGUCGAUUCAUGGAUUAUAUGGAGUUGGGAGUUUUUCUUGAUGAAAUCUCGUUUAAUAUUGCGAUUGAUGCAUUAUGUAAACUAGGGAAAAUGGACGAAGCUAUUGUGUUGUUUCAAGAAAUGAAGCGUAAGAACAUGAUUCCAGAUGUUAUGCAUUAUACCACUUUGAUCAACGGGUAUGGGCUUAAAGGAGAACCAUGGAAUGCGUAUAGUAUCUUUGAAGAGAUGACGAGGAAUGGAUUGAGACCAGAUGUUAUCACUUUUGACGUGCUUGCUGGUGGGUUUUCAAAAUGUGGUUUUUUUGAGGAGACAAUCGGUCUUUUAAACGAUAUGCGGGCACAUGGGCUAGAACCCACGUGUAUUACAGAUAGUGUGGUCAUUGAGGGGUUAUGUAAGGGAGGAAAGGUGAAAGAAGCUGAAUAUUUUUUCAAUACUCUGGAAUUUAAAACUUUGGAUCAUUAUGCAGCAAUGAUGAAUGGGUACUGCGAAGCAAACGAUACCACUAAUGCUUUUAAACUUUGGUUGUCUGAACGCGGGCUCAUUGUAAAACGGGCUUCUUGCUUAAAACUUCUAAGCCGUCUUUGCGCGGAAGGCAAAACCAGAAAAGCUAUCGAGUUAUUUGAAGCACUUGAGGCAUCAGACAACAGUAAAGGUGACUUAUUAUACAGUGAACUUGUAUCCGUGUAUUCACGUCUUGGAGACAUUAGGAUGGCGAGGUGGGUUUUUGAUAAAAUGAUCGAAAAAGGAUUAAUACCAGAUGCCAUUACGUACACUAUGAUUAUAAAUGGUUAUUGUAGGGUUAAUUCUGUAAAGGAAGCUUAUUAUCUUUUUAAUGACAUGAAAAAUAGGGGUAUAAGACCUGAUAUUGUUACCUAUACCGUUUUACUUCACGGAGGACGUAAAAAGGAGGAUGUGUUGAGAAUUUCAAGUGAAAUUGAAGAAAUGGGCUUAAGUUGUGAUGUCAUUUGCUAUACGGUUAUGAUUGACAAGCAUUGUAAAUCAGAUAACUUAGAGGAUGCUGUUUGCUUAUUUAAUGAAAUGAUAGACAGAGGUCUUCAACCAAAUACUGUGACAUACACUGCACUUGUGUGUGGAUAUUGUUCUCAUGGAUACAUGAAGAAGGCUGAAACACUUGUUGAUGAGAUGAUAUCAAAGGGGAUCCAACCAAACUCACGGACUAUGCUAGCUCUAACAACAGUGAAGGCCAAGAAAGGGAAAUUUAGGCAUUAAAUUACCCUUACAGUGCCGGAUUUUAAAUCAGAAGCUCCACCCGACCAACUCUCUGGUUCACUCUGCCGGAAGCAUUUAGCUACACUCGGAAAAAGGGUCAUGAACGUGAAAUGAUAUAUCUUAGAUAGCCCUGGAAUUGUGGAAAGUGACUGAAAGUUUGCUGGGACAAAAACUAACAAAAGUUAAUUGAAUCAGUGUCUGCUUGGACAUGUGCAACAAAUCAAUAGAGCUGUAAGCAUUGCUUCAACUACUUUCUCAAUUGAAGCUCUUUUUUUGCUUUAAUGUGAGUUUUUCAGCCUUCCGGCUCUAAUGCAAAUGAAGUCAUGGUGUAUUUGUGGUGUCUGACAUAGCUUAUGCAGCAUACCCUCCGUCCCAUGGGAAGGAAAAAAAAUGCAAAACGUGCUACUCGUAUUUAGGUUCGUUCCAAAAAUUGUGAAAAUAUCCGAGUUUAUCCAUUGAAAUUCUUUAGAUCAUAUCGUUUAUCUCCCUGAAGAUGGUUGAAGCUAUCCAUCAUCUAAAUGUUUCACCAGCCACCUUCUCCUGGGAGACCCUUGUCCUGUCAUGAAAACGCUGAUAAAGAUAGUUAAAUGUGGCCUUAUAGAUCUAUCAUGGUUGAAUGGUUACGUAUAUGCACAAAAAGCAGAAGAUAGGAAACAAAAAGCCAUGCGCAGAGAGCCAGGUAUGCAUACGGCCAAGAAUACGCCUGAAACUUCGAAUUGCCAGCGAGGGAGAAACCACCAACAAGCAACAAAAACUCCACAGAGAAGAGUUUUUUAUUUUUAUUUUAUAUUUACAACACACUACAGAAUAUGAGAAUAGGAUAUACAAGUACAUAAUUAGUAGUGUAACUCUUAAAUAUUUUUUUUUGUUGUUAUACAGAACUGUCUCAUGGUUUUUAAA